AAAACUUUUAGGUAAUUUUUUUCGAUUAAUUUUUUAAUUUUCGAGAAUAAAGAGAGAGAGAAAAAAAAAAAAACAGAUGGGAUUAUGUUUGUCUGGGAGUGAUGUGAGGGGAGGGAAACAAGCCGUAGGUGGGGCCCACCUCCGGCCCACCAGCGCGGCUGAUCACCACAAUGUCUCUGGUCAAAAUGACGCCGUUGAUUUCUUCUUCAAAUCUCGCGGCCUUCAUGCCCUUUUCACCCAAAUCGAGGUAUAUGUGUGUACCUGAAUUAUAUGAGUCUUUCACUGCCACUAUUAAUAAACUAUUUUCAGUUAAUUAAUUAAUUAAUUAAAAAUCUAUGAUUAGUUUAUGUUUUUUAAUUUAUUUUUAAUUUUUUAAAUCUGAUUUCGUUCAUGUUGGUAAUUGUGAUGGAUUCUAAAACGGUCACUCGUUUGAAAAUCUAUUCUCAAAUUAUGUUUGUUAUUAUUACUUAUUUGAUGACUUUUCAGUGUAACAUCGAACAACUUAAAUCAUCUAUAUUUGAUAAAAGUUAUUUGAUAAUUCGAACAUAAUUAGAGAGUAGAUUCCUAUUCAAGAAUCAACCGCAAUCCCAAACAUGCCUUUUUUUUGAAUUUGUUCUGGUGGCUGAUCUUUUGCUAGUGUUGGUUCGACGGUUUCACACCAAGCAACUGCUUUUGUUUUGCAUAUGGAGAACAGUAAGUUUAACUGCUUAUACCCAAUGACAACAUUCUGUGAAGUGAAUUUUAGAUUAAGAUUGGUUAAGGUAAAUAAAAAAAGAAUGGUGUUGAAUGCACAGUGGCCUUGUGAACAUUGAAAAAGUCGAUGUUUGAUCCUGUUGAAUGCACAGUGGUUUUCCUGUGUAUCCUCAAAGUUGACUAUUCUGUUAUGCCUCAUUUAUCAAAUUUGACUCAUACCCCUCGUGAUCAAAUUUGACUUAUACCCCUCGUGAAGAUUCCCCAUGAUAAUGCUCCCCUGAUUGGAACAUGAUUUUGUGAAUGCUGGUUUGCAUAAGACAAACCAUUAACUUUAUAAAAGAUUGUGGAUUAAGGAUUUUGUUGUUACGAGGAUAAGAAUGUCUUUCCAUAACGUAGACCACCAAGUGAUUGUAAUAUUCCUGUAUUGAUGUGGACCUUACCUGAGGAUCUCCUUGGAAACUUUCCUGGAGAAAAGGCAACAAGUCAUAUGAUAACAAAUUAAAUGUGGUUCAAUGCUUGUAAUUGACGUGUCACAUCCUGUUGUUAUAUAAAACUUAAUUACAUAUAUUAUUGCUUGCUGCUUAUAAGAUUUAAUAUUAGAAGUGAUUCUGUCAGAAUCCGAAAUGAUGGUUUUCUGCAUGUUCUGUUUAUGACAGAUAUAUAUUGCCUGUCAGUUGAAUAAAUAAUACUCUUAUUGAGUCUAUAUAUAUAUAAUUAUAUAUGAUAUAAAAUUAAGAUUCUUUUUUUUUGUCGUAAUACAUAGAAUUGUUCGUACUAUUAUUAUAACAAAAUAAUUAAAAUUUAUGAGUUGAAGUUGUCAGAAAAAUAAACUUAUUUCCAAUGAAUGGCAUUUGGAGGAACAAAAUCAAUCCGGAAGUUUUUUACGCGGAAGUUUGGAGGAACAAAAUAAAUCCGGAACUUUUUUACGCGGAAAAAAAAUCAAUUAACAUUAAUGACGUCCAAAUGUCCAAAUAUAAUGAGAAAUUGAAUUCUUCAAUACCUUGCUGUUUCUUCAUAUUUCUUUAUAAAUUUACCGAUUCUUUACUCUAAAUUCUAGUAUUUGUCUUCGUAGAAUGUAAACUUAUUCCCUAAGAUAUGGUUAAAAAAAAAAAUAAUAAAAUCUAAUCAUUUGGUAGUGCGCAAACUAAUAUCAUAGCUAAAAUGAAGUUGGUAAAUUAUCUAUUAUUAAUAAUUAGGUGGGCCUAAACGUUCCAACUUCCAAAUACAGUAAAACAAUCCAUCAUCUACAUUAUUCUAUAUUUUGGAGAGAAAAAGGAAAAGGCAAAAUCUUUUAGAUAAGAAAAAAAAAAUUUUUUCCUCAUGAAAAAGCAAUUGAAUUAAAAAGUAGAAAUUUCUUUACAUUCUCGCCGGAGAAACAGAGUCAAAUUCAAAUACGACGACUCAAGCGCAAAAAGCCUAUAAAUAAAGCCCGGCUCCUGUUCCCUGUCAGAGGCUACGGAUUUGAGAGAUUAAAGAACAUCAACCGAACAGUGAGACUCCGUACUCUUCACACAAACUUGCAAAAACUUUUAGGUAAUUUUUUUCGAUUAAUUUUUUAAUUUUCGAGAAUAAAGAGAGAAAAAAAACAGAUGGGAUUAUGUUUGUCUGGGAGUGAUGUGAGGGGAGGGAAACAAGCCGUAGGUGGGGCCCACCUCCGGCCCACCAGCGCGGCUGAUCACCACAAUGUCUCUGGUCAAAAUGACGCCGUUGAUUUCUUCUUCAAAUCUCGCGGCCUUCAUGCCCUUUUCACCCAAAUCGAGGUAUAUGUGUGUACCUGAAUUAUAUGAGUCUUUCACUG
This 2491-nucleotide long non-coding RNA is filed under the name Citrus sinensis (sweet orange). RNAcentral describes it as "long non-coding RNA (CSIN_LNC005279)". The record is from RNAcentral. Lineage: Eukaryota; Viridiplantae; Streptophyta; Magnoliopsida; Sapindales; Rutaceae.